This 76-nucleotide ribozyme is filed under the name unclassified sequences. RNAcentral's name for it is "HDV ribozyme from F. prausnitzii". It matches the Rfam family "HDV ribozyme from F. prausnitzii". The record is from RNAcentral.
GCCGCUCGAAUCUUUGCACACCUCUACAUGGUGGGCGGCAGGCGAACAGUUUGGAUGCUGUGGCAAGAAUGCAGGA